Molecule: ribosomal RNA, 467 nt
Filed under: uncultured bacterium
Lineage: Bacteria
Description: partial 16S ribosomal RNA
Rfam family: Bacterial small subunit ribosomal RNA
Source: RNAcentral
GAUGAACGCUGACAGAAUGCUUAACACAUGCAAGUCAACUUGAAUUUGGGUUUUUAACUUAGGUUUGGGUGGCGGACGGGUGAGUAACGCGUAAAGAACUUGCCUCACAGCUAGGGACAACAUUUGGAAACGAAUGCUAAUACCUAAUAUUAUGAUAAUAGGGCAUCCUAUAAUUAUGAAAGCUAUAAGCGCUGUGAGAGAGCUUUGCGUCCCAUUAGCUAGUUGGAGAGGUAACGGCUCACCAAGGCGAUGAUGGGUAGCCGGCCUGAGAGGGUGAUCGGCCACAAGGGGACUGAGACACGGCCCUUACUCCUACGGGAGGCAGCAGUGGGGAAUAUUGGACAAUGGACCGAGAGUCUGAUCCAGCAAUUCAGUGUGCACGAUGAAGUUUUUCGGAAUGUAAAGUGCUUUCAGUUGGGAAGAAACAAAUGACGGUACCAACAGAAGAAGUGACGGCUAAAUACGUG